Molecule: ribosomal RNA, 399 nt
Filed under: uncultured Lactobacillus sp.
Lineage: Bacteria; Bacillati; Bacillota; Bacilli; Lactobacillales; Lactobacillaceae
Description: bacterial SSU rRNA
Rfam family: Bacterial small subunit ribosomal RNA
Source: RNAcentral
AAACUAACAGAUUUACUUCGGUAAUGACGUUAGGAAAGCGAGCGGCGGAUGGGUGAGUAACACGUGGGGGACCUGCCCCAUAGUCUGGGAUACCACUUGGAAACAGGUGCUAAUACCGGAUAAGAAAGCAGAUCGCAUGAUCAGCUUUUAAAAGGCGGCGUAAGCUGUCGCUAUGGGAUGGCCCCGCGGUGCAUUAGCUAGUUGGUAAGGUAAAGGCUUACCAAGGCGAUGAUGCAUAGCCGAGUUGAGAGACUGAUCGGCCACAUUGGGACUGAGACACGGCCCAAACUCCUGCGGGAGGCAGCAGUAGGGAAUCUUCCACAAUGGACGCAAGUCUGAUGGAGCAGCGCCGCGUGAGUGAAGAAGGUUUUCGGAUCGUAAAGCUCUGUUGUUGGUGAA